RNAcentral lists this ribosomal RNA (368 nucleotides) under uncultured organism. RNAcentral's name for it is "bacterial SSU rRNA". It matches the Rfam family "Bacterial small subunit ribosomal RNA", at positions 526 to 896 of the family's 1533-position model. The record is from RNAcentral.
CGGAGGGUGCAAGCGUUAUCCGGAUUCACUGGGUUUAAAGGGUGCGUAGGUGGGCAAGUAAGUCAGUGGUGAAAUCUCCGGGCUUAACCCGGAAACUGCCAUUGAUACUAUUUGUCUUGAAUACUGUGGAGGUCAGCGGAAUAUGUCAUGUAGCGGUGAAAUGCUUAGAUAUGACAUAGAACACCAAUUGCGAAGGCAGCUGGCUACACAAAUAUCGACACUGAGGCACGAAAGCGUGGGGGUCAAACAGGAUUAGAUACCCUGGUAGUCCACGCCCUAAACUAUGGAUACUCGACAUUUGCGAUAAACUGCAAGUGUCUGAGCGAAAGCAUUAAGUAUCCCACCUGGGAAGUACGAUCGCAAGAUUG